This 515-nucleotide ribosomal RNA is filed under the name uncultured bacterium. RNAcentral describes it as "partial 16S ribosomal RNA". It matches the Rfam family "Bacterial small subunit ribosomal RNA", at positions 28 to 523 of the family's 1533-position model. The record is from RNAcentral.
GAUGAACGCUGGCGGCGUGCCUAAUACAUGCAAGUCGAGCGAAUGGAUUGAGAGCUUGCUCUUAUGAAGUUAGCGGCGGACGGGUGAGUAACACGUGGGUAACCUGCCCAUAAGACUGGGAUAACUCCGGGAAACCGGGGCUAAUACCGGAUAACAUUUUGAACCGCAUGGUUCGAAAUUGAAAGGCGGCUUUGGCUGUCACUUAUGGAUGGACACGCGUCGCAUUAGCUAGUUGGUGAGGUAACGGCUCACCAAGGUAACGAUGCGUAGCCGACCUGAGAGGGUGAUCAGCCACACUGGGACUGAGACACGGCACAGACUCCGACGGGAGGCAGCAGUAGGGAAUCUUCCGCAAUGGACGAAAGUCUGACGGAGCAACGCCGCGUGAGUGAUGAAGGCUUUCGGGUCGUAAAACUCUGUUGUUAGGGAAGAACAAGUGCUAGUUGAAUAAGCUGGCACCUUGACGGUACCUAACCAGAAAGCCACGGCUAACUACGUGCCAGCCGCCGCCGUAA